Long non-coding RNA from Ctenopharyngodon idella (grass carp), 460 nucleotides. RefSeq lists it as uncharacterized. The record is from RefSeq and is a predicted model, not a curated record. NCBI's taxonomy places the organism in Eukaryota, Metazoa, Chordata, Actinopteri, Cypriniformes, Xenocyprididae. The transcript is spliced from 2 exons.
AACCUUAUCAUGCUUUUUGUCUGUGUAUAUAAUCUCAAACUAUGAUGCAUACAAACACAUGUUUGUUUUUUAUCAUUAUUAUUGUUUAUUGUUACCUAGUUCGGUUUUCUUCAGUUAUCAAUGUCUGAAGCCAAAGAAGAUAUCAGCAGCUGCUCGAAGAUCUCGCCUUUGGAGAAGACUGAUUUUAUACUCAAAAAAAAAUCUGUGCCCAUUCUGCAGCUUUAUUCUGAUGAAGCAGCUGAUGAACACCUUCAUCCAUAAUGUCCCUCACUGCUGCUCUUCUCAAUGGGGACAUCGUUGAUCCAGAGGAUGAGGAAGAUGAUGAUGAUGGACCCCUGAACCCCACAACCUUGAAGCAAGAGUGGGAGAAGAUGUGCAGGACAAUCUGGCUGCUGCUGUGUCUGCUGCAAACAUUCAUGUGCUCUCCAUCAGCAUGACUAAAUAAACAGAUUAAAACAUU